AGAGUUUGAUCAUGGCUCAGGACGAACGCUGGCGGCGUGCUUAACACAUGCAAGUCGAGCGAUGAAGUUUCUUCGGAAAUGGAUUAGCGGCGAACGGGUGAGGAACACGUGAAGAAUCUGCCCUCCACUUUGGGAUAACACCGGGAAACCGGUGCUAAUACCGAAUAUUGAAACAUAAGUGGCAUCACUGAGUUUUGAAAGAAUUUCGGUGGAGGAUGACUUCGCGGCCUAUCAGCUAGUUGGUGAGGUAAUGGCUCACCAAGGCAACGACGGGUAGCCGGCCUGAGAGGGCGACCGGCCACACUGGGACUGAGACACGGCCCAGACUCCUACGGGAGGCAGCAGUGGGGAAUAUUGGGCAAUGGAGGAAACUCUGACCCAGCGACGCCGCGUGCGGGAUGAAAGGCCUUCGGGUUGUAAACCGCUUUCAGUAGGGAAGAAGCGAAAGUGACGGUACCUACAAA
This 464-nucleotide ribosomal RNA is filed under the name uncultured beta proteobacterium. RNAcentral's name for it is "bacterial SSU rRNA". It matches the Rfam family "Bacterial small subunit ribosomal RNA", at positions 8 to 485 of the family's 1533-position model. Lineage: Bacteria; Pseudomonadati; Pseudomonadota; Betaproteobacteria. The record is from RNAcentral.